CCUACGAGUGGCAGCAGUGAGGAAUAUUGGUCAAUGGACGAGAGUCUGAACCAGCCCAGUAGCGUGAAGGAUGACUGCCCUAUGGGUUGUAAACUUCUUUUAUAUGGGAAUAAAAUGUUCCACGUGUGGGAUUUUGUAUGUACCAUAUGAAUAAGGAUCGGCUAACUCCGUGCCAGCAGCCGCGGUAAUACGGAGGAGCCGAGCGUUAUCCGGAUUUAUUGGGUUUAAAUGGAGCGUGGGUGGAAUGGUAAGUCAGUUGUGAAAGGUUGCGGCUCAACCGUAAAAUUGCAGUUGAAACUGGCAGUCUGGAGUACAGUAGAGGUGGGCGGAAUUCGUGGUGUAGCGGUGAAAUGCGUAGAUAUCACGAAGAACUCCGAUUGCGAAGGCAGCCCACUGGACUGCAACUGACACUGAGGCUCGAAAGUGUGGGUAUCAAACAGGAUUAGAUACCCCGGUAGUC
This 460-nucleotide ribosomal RNA is filed under the name uncultured bacterium. RNAcentral describes it as "partial 16S ribosomal RNA". It matches the Rfam family "Bacterial small subunit ribosomal RNA", at positions 338 to 795 of the family's 1533-position model. The record is from RNAcentral.